RNAcentral lists this transfer RNA (73 nucleotides) under Bos taurus (domestic cattle). It matches the Rfam family "tRNA". Rfam says of the family: Transfer RNA (tRNA) molecules are approximately 80 nucleotides in length. Their secondary structure includes four short double-helical elements and three loops (D, anti-codon, and T loops). Lineage: Eukaryota; Metazoa; Chordata; Mammalia; Artiodactyla; Bovidae. The record is from Rfam by way of RNAcentral. RNAcentral also lists the same sequence under 3 other names.
UCCCUGGUGGUUCAGUGGUUAGGACCCUGUGCUUUCACUGCUGGGGGCCUGGGUUCAAUUCCCGGUCAAGGAA